Molecule: ribosomal RNA, 256 nt
Filed under: uncultured bacterium
Lineage: Bacteria
Description: partial 16S ribosomal RNA
Rfam family: Bacterial small subunit ribosomal RNA
Source: RNAcentral
UACGUAGGGUGCGAGCGUUGUCCGGAAUUAUUGGGCGUAAAGAGCUCGUAGGCGGUGUGUCACGUCGGCCGUGAAAACCUGCAGCUUAACUGUGGGCGUGCGGUCGAUACGGGCAUCACUGGAGUUCGGCAGGGGAGACUGGAAUUCCUGGUGUAGCGGUGAAAUGCGCAGAUAUCAGGAGGAACACCGGUGGCGAAGGCGGGUCUCUGGGCCGAUACUGACGCUGGAGGAGCGAAAGCGUCGGGGAGCAAACAGG